UAUAAAAGAGGAAAGGAUACAUAGUUGGCUUACACUCGCCACGUCACACAAAUACAUGAGUAACAUUACAAUCAUCCAAUACACUCAUGGUCUGACUAUGGUACCAAAAUAAAAGAUCAACCCCAACAUGCGACAUGGUCCCCGAUCGCCCCAACUGGGCACCACUACUGAUCAUCUGGGAAAGACACAUAGUAACGGCGAGAGUCUUCGUCGAACUCCCACUUGAGCUCAAGCGCAUCAUCUGGAACGGUAUCAUCGGUCCCUGCAUCUGGUUUGGAAGUAAUCUGUGAGUCACGGGGACUCAGCAAUCUCGCACCCUCGCGAUCAAGACUAUUUAAGCUUAUAGAAAAGGCAAGGUAAAUAUGUGGACCUGCAGCAAGCGACUAGCAUAUAUGGUGGCUAACAUGUUCGCAAAAGAGAGCGAGAAGAGAAGGCAAAGCACGAACGAAAAACUAUGAUCAAGAAGUGAUCCUAGAACAACCUACGUCAAGCAUUACUCCAGCACCGUGUUCACUUCCCGGACUCCGCCGAGAAGAGACCAUCACGGUAACACACGCGGUUGAUUCAUUUUAAUUAAGUUAAGUUUCAAGUUAUCUACAACCGGACAUUAACAAAUUCCCAUCUGCCCAUAAUCGCGGGCACGGCUUUCGAAAGUUCAAAUCCCUGCAGGGGAGUCCCAACUUAGCCCAUCACAAGCUCUCACGGUCAACGAAGGAUAUUCCUUCUCCCGAGACAUUCUGAUCAGACUCGGCAUCUCGGUUUUACAAGACAUCCUCGACAAUGGUAAAACAAGUCCAGCAACACUGCCCGAAUGUGUCGACAAAUCCCGAUAGGAGCUGCAUAUAUCUCGUUCUCAGGGCACACUCAAAUGAGCUAGACGUCGGGUAGGCCAGCCCAGAGUUGCCCCUGGUAGCCCCGGACAUCACUCAGUUGGACCAACACUUAGAGAAGCACUAGCCCGGGGGGGUUAAAAAUAAAGAUGACCCUUGAGUCCGCGAAACCCAAGGGAAAAAGGCUAGAUGGUGAAUGGUAAAACCAAAGUUGGGCAUUGCUGGAAGAGUUUUAUUCAAGGCGAACUGUCAAGGGGUUCCCAUUAUAACCCAACCGCGUAAGGAACGCAAAAUCCGGGAACAUAAUAGCGAUAUGACGGAAACUAGGGCGACAAGAGUGGAACAAAACACUAGGAAAAAGGCCGAGCCUUCCACCCUUUACCAAGUAUAUAGGUGCAUUAAGAUAACAAGAUAAUAUAGUGAUAUCCCAACAAUAAACAAUGUUCCAACAAGGAACGAUCUCCAAUCUUCACCUGCAACUAGCAACUCUAUAAGAGGGGUUGAGCAAAGCGGUAACAUAGCCAAUCAACGGUUUGCUAGGACAUGGUGGGUUAGAGGUUUGACAUGGCAAUUUGGGAGACAUGAUAAGCAUGUGGUAGGCAUCGUAGCAUAGGCAUAGCAAAAGAACGAGCAUCUAACAAGCAAAGAUAGAAGUGAUUUCGAGGGUAUGAUCAUCUUGCCUGCAAAGUUGUCAGAGUUGCCUUGAUCCUCAUAAGAAAACUCAACGGG
RNAcentral lists this long non-coding RNA (1559 nucleotides) under Triticum aestivum (bread wheat). RNAcentral's name for it is "long non-coding RNA (TAES_LNC005407)". Lineage: Eukaryota; Viridiplantae; Streptophyta; Magnoliopsida; Poales; Poaceae. The record is from RNAcentral.